RNAcentral lists this unclassified non-coding RNA (311 nucleotides) under Hevea brasiliensis (rubber tree). Lineage: Eukaryota; Viridiplantae; Streptophyta; Magnoliopsida; Malpighiales; Euphorbiaceae. The record is from RNAcentral.
AGGGGCCGCAGUAGUUACAGGAAUGGAAGCAUUUCGAAGAGGCCUGUUCUAUCGAGCAGUCGACCAAGCUCCUCUGGGGAGCCAAGUGAAAUCCGAUCAAGUCGCCUGGUGUCAGCAAGUAGUCGUCUAUCUGCAGGGCAAAGGGUUCAACCUGGUUUUGAGUCCAAAACGACAACUUUUACCCGUUCUUCAACUACAAAAGGCGGUCGUGAUGAUACACUCCGGAGCUUUGAGCUGUUGUCUAUUGGAACUGGCAAGAGGAAAUGAAAAAAGAAACAGAUCAAUGUGGGUAACUAGUGGCCGUGUGAAUG